GUUGAUCCUGCGGGAGGACACUGCUAGUGGGGUCCGAUUUAGACAUGCAAGUCUGGUAGCAAUACCGGCAGAAGGCUCAGUAACACGUCAAUAAUCUGACCUAAGGUAGAAGAUAACUUCGGGAAACUGAGGGUAAUAUUCUAUAGGAGAAAGAUACUGGAAUGUUUUUUCUCCAAAGCUUCGGCGCCUUGGGGUGAGUUGGCGGCAGAUUAGCUUGAUGGUGGUGCAAUGGACCACCAUGGCUCAGAUCUGUAAGGGGAAUGAGAGUUCGAGCCCUGAGAGGGACACUGAGAUAAGGGUCCCAGCCCUACGGGGUGCAGCAGUUACGAAACCUCCACAAUGCACGCAAGUGUGAUGGGGGGACCCCACGUGCUUAUCCUUGCGGGUAAGCUUUUGCUAAGUUUAUAAUGCUUAGAGAAUAAGUGGUGGGCAAGAACGGUGCCAGCCGCCGCGGUAACACCGACGCCACGAGUGGUGUCCACGUUUAUUGGGCCUACAGCAUCCGUAGCCGGUUUAUUAAGUUUUUGGUGAAAUUCGGUGGCUUAACUAUCGAGCGCGCCAAAAAUACUGGUAAACUAGAGACUGGGAGGAGCUGAGAGUAUUCCGGGGGGAGCGGUGAAAUGUUUUAAUCCUCGGAGGACUACCCGUGGCGAAGGCGCUCAGCUAGAACAGGUCUGACGGUGAGGGAUGAAAGCUAGGGGAGCAAUGCGGAUUAGAUACCCGCGUAGUCCUAGCCGUAAACGCUGCCUGCUUGGUGCGGUGCGUUCCUUGAGAAUGUGCGGUGCCGUAGCGAAGGUGUUAAGCAGGCCGCCUGGGGAGUACGGUCGCAAGGCUGAAACUUAAAGGAAUAGGCGGGGGGUCACUACAAGGGGUGGAUGCUGCGGUUUAAUUGGAAUAGACGCCCGAAACCUUACCAACGGCGACAGCAGGAUGAAGGUCCGUCUAAAUGGCGUACUCGACACGCUGAGAGGUGGUGCAUGGCCGCCGUCAGCUCGUGCCGCGAGGUGUUCUGUUAAGUCAGAGAACGAGCGAGACCUGUGCUCCUAGUUGCUAGCUUUUUCUUCGGAGGAGGCGCACACCAGGAGGACUGCUUGCGUAAGCAAGAGGAAGGUGCAGGCAACGGUAGGUCAGUAUGCCCUGAAUCCGUUGGGCUACACGCGGCAUACAUCGGUUAAAGCAACGGGUUGCGACUCCGAAAGGAGAAGCUAAUCCCUUAAACUUAAUCAUGUCUGAAUUGAAGGCUGCAACCCGCCUUCAUGAAAGCGAAAUCCCUAGUAAUUGCGUUUUAGCAUAGCGCAGUGAAUAUGUCACUGACCCUUGCACUCACUGCCCGUCAAUCCAUCCGAGUUGGGUUUGGAUGAGGCUCCUGUGAAGGAUUCGAAUCCAGGCUUGGCGAGGCGGGAUAAGUCGACACAAGGUA
RNAcentral lists this ribosomal RNA (1420 nucleotides) under metagenome. RNAcentral's name for it is "bacterial SSU rRNA". It matches the Rfam family "Archaeal small subunit ribosomal RNA". The record is from RNAcentral.